Molecule: long non-coding RNA, 1110 nt
Organism: Photinus pyralis (common eastern firefly)
Lineage: Eukaryota; Metazoa; Arthropoda; Insecta; Coleoptera; Lampyridae
Exons: 2
Source: RefSeq, a predicted model, not a curated record
AAACGAAGAAGUUGUAGCAAGUGGCAAUUUAGUAACAGCAUAUCUGUGCUGUUUUGCUGUAUGCAAAUAACAAUAUUCGUAAAAUCGAGAGAAAAACUGAUACAGUAUCCUAAUGGAAAGAGCCAAUCUCAUCUAUUGAAACAACGCAGUUUCCGUGUUGGAAUUGUUUCCGAAAGUGCAAUGUGAUGUGGUGCCACGAACAGAGGAUGAGAUUGAAAGCACUAAACAGCCCCAUGCAGAUAGGUGGUAGUCCUCAAACUUUCUGCACUCCAGUUAGCAAGUACCAAUGGAAGUGCAACAUAUUUGUCGUGACGAUCUGUCAAAGCUAAUUUGCUGCUGCCGUUGUUGUUGGUAGUUCAUACUUGUGGAGCCGGGCCAAUUUUGCGGUGAUUGUCCGAUGAGAUACGAUUUGAAACUGUCAACCUUUAAAUUAACAAACGUCAAUUAAUACCUAUUAAUCUAGAAAUGCCAACAAAAUUAUCAAGUGCCCAUACUAGUGGAUGUCAUGGUAAUCACAUUUGUCAAUUUUGGCGUUCGCGAUGGAAAAUAGCAGUAAUUAUUAUUUGCGUGCUUGUUCCGACACGCCGGUAAUCGCGCGAUUCUCAAGAGGACCUUAUUUACAUGAAAAUGUUUCAAAUCGUUCAGACAGAACCGCGCAGGAUUAACGCUGUGUCUGGAGAAAGCGUAAUGAAUUCAUAAGGUCUUAUGAAAUCCAAAGUGGACAUGGUAAAUCUGCCAUAAUGACAACGUCGUAGAUUACAGAAAUAAAGUAUCCAUUUGGUCAUAGAAUACUAGAUGAAUUAAGAAUGAGCAAAAAUUCAUAUUUGAUGGUAGUUCAAAUGUGAAAAGGUCACACCAUGCUUUUCAUUAAAUACAAGAACUUGUUCUUAUGAUGAAAAGAUCUUUGUCAUGUGGACUCCUAAAUUGCGAUAGAUGUAAGAAUGGAGAACAAUUCAAAUUUAAUAUGUUUGUAACCUUUUAGGUAAAUUAUUAAAACAGUUAGUAUUGUAUUGUUAUCUGUUAGUUUUCUUAGUAAGUGAUUUUAGUUUUUAAUUAAAUAUGUAUUGAUAUUUACACAUAUGGAAAAUGAAAUAAAACUAUUUGUACAUC